CAGGCUGCAACUCGCCUGCAUGAAGUCGGAAUUGCUAGUAAUCGCGGAUCAGCAUGCCGCGGUGAAUACGUUCCCGGCCUUGUACACACCGCCCGUCACACCAUGGGAGUCGGUAACACCCGAAGCCGAUAGUCUAACGAAAGAGGACGUCGUCGAAGGUGGGAUUGAUGACUGGGUGAAGUCGUAACAAGGUACC
Molecule: ribosomal RNA, 196 nt
Filed under: uncultured bacterium
Lineage: Bacteria
Description: partial 16S ribosomal RNA
Rfam family: Bacterial small subunit ribosomal RNA
Source: RNAcentral